ACGGAAGGCAGCAGUAGGGAAUAUUGCACAAUGGGGGAAACCCUGAUGCAGCAACGCCACGUGUGGGAAGAAGCAUUUCGGUGUGUAAGCCACUGUCGUGAAGGAAUAAGGCUUAUUUUCGGAUAAGUUGAAUGUCCUUUGAAAGGAAGCACCGGCAAACUUCGUGCCAGCAGCCGCGGUAAUACGAGGGGUGCAAGCGUUGUUCGGAAUCACUGGGCGUAAAGGGAGCGCAGGCGGAGAUGCAAGCAGUCUGUACAAUACCGGGGCCCAACCCCGGACCUGCAGACUGGACUGUUUCUCUUGGAUAGCUCAGGGGCUGGCGGAAUUCCUGGUGUAGCGGUGGAAUGCGUAGAGAUCAGGAAGAACACCGAUGGCGAAGGCAGCCAGCUGGGGGCUUAUCGACGCUCAUGCUCGUAAGUGCGGGUAGCAAACAGGAUUAGAUACCCUGGUA
This 451-nucleotide ribosomal RNA is filed under the name uncultured Fibrobacter sp. RNAcentral describes it as "partial 16S ribosomal RNA". It matches the Rfam family "Bacterial small subunit ribosomal RNA", at positions 341 to 792 of the family's 1533-position model. Lineage: Bacteria; Pseudomonadati; Fibrobacterota; Fibrobacteria; Fibrobacterales; Fibrobacteraceae. The record is from RNAcentral.